CUAUAGAAUACAAAUUUGCAGAUCUCUGCUCCAUGACCGAAGCUUUGAUGCAAACAGCACACAGAGCUGUUCAACAGUGGAACAGACUCCCUCCGAAGGUGACCAUGUGUCAUGGUCUAAGAGCCUGAGAUCCUGGUUGAUCUCUUGGAUGGUGAACAGGAAAGACAACAUGUACCAGUAGAACCUAAUUGCCCUCCUGCAAUAAAUGAAUUAUUUAAAAGAGUGAAACUGAUAUUCAUAUUAAUGGGAGGGAGGAAACAUUAUAUGAUCCACAAAGAUUAAUAUUUAUUUAUCAUUUUACAUUAAUAUCAAACCUUUUCCUGUCUAGCAUAGAACAAAAAUUUGGAAAUCUCUGCUCCAUGACCGGAGCUUUGAUGCAAACAGCACACAGAGCUGUUCAGCAGUGGAACAGACUCCCUCCGAAGGUGACCAUGUGUCAUGGAUGCUUCAGGUGAGAUUCCUCCAGGUCCCUUCCAUCUCUACAACUCUAUGAUUCUUUACUACUGUGGUUCUAUGAGUAAGAAAUGAAGGCACCCCUCAAAAUGUGUGCUAUACUGGGAAGUUGCUUCAAAGCCUGCUUUUCCUGCAUUGGUCUUUGGCUUCUUCCAAGGGGCUAGACUAUAGGUAGAUAAGAGACAAUUUUAUUGAAGGAGGGGAAGCACCAAAUACCUCCGUCCCCUUUUAGUUACAAUUGAGGUCUCGUGGCUUUCAGGUUUGAGUGCGUGGUAAAACCUAUAAUUUUGCACAUGUUUUUCAUCAGUGACUCCACCAGUGAGGACACACCCUGAUCUGUGUUAUUCCAUAUAAUCAUUUUAUUUGAAGCAUAUCAUUCCUGCUCUUCACCCAUAGAAAUACAAGCAUUUUCAAGAGUUUCUUAAAACGCUUCUAAUUUUUUGAAAAAAACAGUGACAGAAAGGGAAAAGUGCUGGGAUUGGAGGAGGAAACCUUUAAUGUAGCUCAGACGGAUUUCCCCAUGGUGGGCUGUAGGCCUCCUGUUCCAUCGUGUUAAUAGAACUGUGAUAAGGUUGGGAUAGGAAACAGGUACCUAUGGAUUCCAAGUGAAGAAACAUCAAACAUCUCACUACUUAGAAAUGAGGCCAGUUGUUUGUGUGUGAGAAAAAGGAAUAAUUCCUUUUCACAUUUUAGAGACCUGACUCCAUGAAAAGGAAGUCUCCUGAUUCAUAUUAUUUAUCAUUUCAAUUAAAGCACAUCUUUCCUGCUCUUCAGCCACCAAACGUCACCCAGAGGAUCUUAAAAUUCCAUUUGUAAAACUGUAACAUGGAAUAAUAUUGAAUGAAACCUUUGAGCCUUGGAAAUUGCCUGAGUUUCAUGGCAUCCUGCAGGUGGGGAAAUUCAGUGCAUCCUUUUGACCCCUGACCAGAUUCAUUGGCAUCCUUGCAUUCUACUAAAAGCAACACAGAAAAGGUAGGAGAGUGUUUCACUAAGGAAGACCCAGAGAACAUGGAAAUAGGAGAGGUUUGUGUGGAAUCUUUUAGUAGACACCCCCAGCUCCCAUCACCCCCAGCCAGCAAGCCCAAUGGUUAAGGGCAGGGUAGUACAGCAACAUCAGCCCUUGGCUCCCCAGCCCUGAGAUAGGGGCUAUUUCCUUGAUAAAUAGGAACCACUAGAAGGACUGGAGGACCAUGAAACUGUGAAGUACAUACUUUUCAAUCCUGGCGAAGGGUGUCUGAGAAAAGACGUAUGGAGUUUCCUUAUAAAAGCGUUUUGGAGAGAUGAUCCCACUGAUGAGAAAGUGUCCCGGCCGGUAGUAAUUGCGAGCAUCCGUUUCAUCCCUGACCAGAUUCAAGGGGCAUUUCGCCUUGUGGUUCCCGCAGACUCCAAAGGGCAUCAUGAGCAGCAGAAGCAGCAACAGAAGGAGCAGGGAUCUCAUUCUGGCUCUGCCUCCUCCUCCUCCUCUUACCUGCCAAGGAGGCAAAGCAGAAGAACCCAAAGACUCUUGCAAGACCAGGCUGGGUGGGCUUUCC
Molecule: non-coding RNA, 1985 nt
Organism: Podarcis lilfordi (Lilford's wall lizard)
Lineage: Eukaryota; Metazoa; Chordata; Lepidosauria; Squamata; Lacertidae
Source: the annotation of a GenBank genome assembly